GGGUUGUGAGGUUAAGCGACUAAGCGUACACGGUGGAUGCCCUGGCAGUCAGAGGCGAUGAAGGACGUGCUAAUCUGCGAAAAGCGUCGGUAAGGUGAUAUGAACCGUUACAGCCGGCGAUGUCCGAAUGGGGAAACCCAGUGUGAUUCGUCACACUAUCGUUAACUGAAUACAUAGGUUAACGAGGCGAACCGGGGGAACUGAAACAUCUAAGUACCCCGAGGAAAAGAAAUCAACCGAGAUUCCCCCAGUAGCGGCGAGCGAACGGGGAGCAGCCCAGAGUCUGAAUCAGCUUGUGUGUUAGUGGAACGGUCUGGAAAGUCCGACGGUACAGGGUGAUAGUCCCGUACACCAAAAUGCACAGGCUGUGAACUCGAAGAGUAGGGCGGGACACGUGGUAUCCUGUCUGAAUAUGGGGGGACCAUCCUCCAAGGCUAAAUACUCCUGACUGACCGAUAGUGAACCAGUACCGUGAGGGAAAGGCGAAAAGAACCCCGGCGAGGGGAGUGAAAAAGAACCUGAAACCGUGUACGUACAAGCAGUGGGAGCACCUUCGGGUGUGACUGCGUACCUUUUGUAUAAUGGGUCAGCGACUUAUAUUCUGUAGCAAGGUUAACCGUAUAGGGGAGCCGCAGGGAAACCGAGUCUUAACUGGGCGUUAAGUUGCAGGGUAUAGACCCGAAACCCGGUGAUCUAGCCAUGGGCAGGUUGAAGGUUGGGUAACACUAACUGGAGGACCGAACCGACUAAUGUUGAAAAAUUAGCGGAUGACUUGUGGCUGGGGGUGAAAGGCCAAUCAAACCGGGAGAUAGCUGGUUCUCCCCGAAAGCUAUUUAGGUAGCGCCUCGUGAAUUCAUCUUCGGGGGGUAGAGCACUGUUUCGGCUAGGGGGUCAUCCCGACUUACCAACCCGAUGCAAACUACGAAUACCGAAGAAUGUUAUCACGGGAGACACACGGCGGGUGCUAACGUCCGUCGUGAAGAGGGAAACAACCCAGACCGCCAGCUAAGGUCCCAAAGUCAUGGUUAAGUGGGAAACGAUGUGGGAAGGCACAGACAGCCAGGAUGUUGGCUUAGAAGCAGCCAUCAUUUAAAGAAAGCGUAAUAGCUCACUGGUCGAGUCGGCCUGCGCGGAAGAUGUAACGGGGCUAAACCAUGCACCGAAGCUGCGGCAGCGACACUAUGUGUUGUUGGGUAGGGGAGCGUUCUGUAAGCCUGCGAAGGUGACCUGUGAGGGUUGCUGGAGGUAUCAGAAGUGCGAAUGCUGACAUAAGUAACGAUAAAGCGGGUGAAAAGCCCGCUCGCCGGAAGACCAAGGGUUCCUGUCCAACGUUAAUCGGGGCAGGGUGAGUCGACCCCUAAGGCGAGGCCGAAAGGCGUAGUCGAUGGGAAACAGGUUAAUAUUCCUGUACUUGGUGUUACUGCGAAGGGGGGACGGAGAAGGCUAUGUUAGCCGGGCGACGGUUGUCCCGGUUUAAGCAUGUAGGCUGGUUGUCCAGGCAAAUCCGGAUAAUCAAGGCUGAGGUGUGAUGACGAGGCACUACGGUGCUGAAGUAACAAAUGCCCUGCUUCCAGGAAAAGCCUCUAAGCAUCAGGUAACAUCAAAUCGUACCCCAAACCGACACAGGUGGUCAGGUAGAGAAUACCAAGGCGCUUGAGAGAACUCGGGUGAAGGAACUAGGCAAAAUGGUGCCGUAACUUCGGGAGAAGGCACGCUGGUGUGUAGGUGAAGUCCCUGCGGAUGGAGCUGAGACCAGUCGAAGAUACCAGCUGGCUGCAACUGUUUAUUAAAAACACAGCACUGUGCAAACACGAAAGUGGACGUAUACGGUGUGACGCCUGCCCGGUGCCGGAAGGUUAAUUGAUGGGGUUAUCCGUAAGGAGAAGCUCUUGAUCGAAGCCCCGGUAAACGGCGGCCGUAACUAUAACGGUCCUAAGGUAGCGAAAUUCCUUGUCGGGUAAGUUCCGACCUGCACGAAUGGCGUAAUGAUGGCCAGGCUGUCUCCACCCGAGACUCAGUGAAAUUGAACUCGCUGUGAAGAUGCAGUGUACCCGCGGCAAGACGGAAAGACCCCGUGAACCUUUACUAUAGCUUGACACUGAACAUUGAGCCUUGAUGUGUAGGAUAGGUGGGAGGCUUUGAAGCGUGGACGCCAGUCUGCGUGGAGCCAACCUUGAAAUACCACCCUUUAAUGUUUGAUGUUCUAACGUUGGCCCCUUACCGGGGUUGCGGACAGUGUCUGGUGGGUAGUUUGACUGGGGCGGUCUCCUCCCAAAGCGUAACGGAGGAGCACGAAGGUUAGCUAAUCCUGGUCGGACAUCAGGAGGUUAGUGCAAUGGCAUAAGCUAGCUUGACUGCGAGCGUGACGGCGCGAGCAGGUGCGAAAGCAGGUCAUAGUGAUCCGGUGGUUCUGAAUGGAAGGGCCAUCGCUCAACGGAUAAAAGGUACUCCGGGGAUAACAGGCUGAUACCGCCCAAGAGUUCAUAUCGACGGCGGUGUUUGGCACCUCGAUGUCGGCUCAUCACAUCCUGGGGCUGAAGUAGGUCCCAAGGGUAUGGCUGUUCGCCAUUUAAAGUGGUACGCGAGCUGGGUUUAGAACGUCGUGAGACAGUUCGGUCCCUAUCUGCCGUGGGCGCUGGAGAAUUGAGGGGGGCUGCUCCUAGUACGAGAGGACCGGAGUGGACGCAUCACUGGUGUUCGGGUUGUCAUGCCAAUGGCACUGCCCGGUAGCUAAAUGCGGAAGAGAUAAGUGCUGAAAGCAUCUAAGCACGAAACUUGCCCCGAGAUGAGUUCUCCCUGAGACUUUAAGUCUCCUGAAGGAACGUUAAAGACGAUGACGUUGAUAGGCCGGGUGUGUAAGCGCAGCGAUGCGUUGAGCUAACCGGUACUAAUGAACCGUGAGGCUUAACCUUACAACGCCGAAG
RNAcentral lists this ribosomal RNA (2924 nucleotides) under Klebsiella pneumoniae. Its description in RNAcentral is "bacterial LSU rRNA". It matches the Rfam family "Bacterial large subunit ribosomal RNA". The record is from RNAcentral. Lineage: Bacteria; Pseudomonadati; Pseudomonadota; Gammaproteobacteria; Enterobacterales; Enterobacteriaceae.